RNAcentral lists this unclassified non-coding RNA (614 nucleotides) under Leishmania donovani. RNAcentral describes it as "gene:unknown". Lineage: Eukaryota; Euglenozoa; Kinetoplastea; Trypanosomatida; Trypanosomatidae. The record is from RNAcentral.
UUGGCCAUUGUAAGCGUUUGCUUUUUCCUUUUCCCCUGCCCUUCACGGCGUUCACGCGCACGUACACACGCGUGCUCCCAUGAUCGCUCAGAGCGACUGUGUACGCUAGCGGCCACCUAUCACAACCACCGCCUCUCCAUUUUGCCUUGCUAUCUCUUGACUUGCGUUGUUCCUGUUUUGCGCAACACACGUGGCCAUUCCCCCCUCGACACACCAACCGGGAAUUUCUCUCUUUCUCACACACACACACACACAGAGGCGGGCGGACAGAUACGUUUUGCUUUUCGUCGCGCGUGCGCGCCUUUCCUGUCUCGCCUCCUCCCUCCUCUGCUACUGACGAAGCGUAAAAAAAAGCGUUGAGCCUUCGACGGCACCAAUCAGGGGCAACAACGAAACAACGCGCGCGCUUAGAGAAGUACAUAAGAAGUCUGAAUCGACAGACACACCGACACGCAUCAAGGAGUUCCUCCCUCCCCCUCCCCGAGCCAUCACCUCACCCGCGUCAAACUCCCGCAUCGCGCACGCGCUCUCUGUCUCUCGCUACCGCGCCCUGAAUUGUCUCGCGCGCGUGUUCGUUUGGCAGUUCAUUGCUCGCGCAAGUGCGUGACGACAAG